Molecule: ribosomal RNA, 253 nt
Filed under: uncultured bacterium
Lineage: Bacteria
Description: partial 16S ribosomal RNA
Rfam family: Bacterial small subunit ribosomal RNA
Source: RNAcentral
UACGGGGGGGGCAAGCGUUGUUCGGAAUUACUGGGCGUAAAGGGCUCGUAGGCGGCCAACUAAGUCAUACGUGAAAUCCCUCGGCUUAACCGGGGAACUGCGUCUGAUACUGGAUGGCUUGAGUUCGGGAGAGGGAUGCGGAAUUCCAGGUGUAGCGGUGAAAUGCGUAGAUAUCAGGAGGAACACCUGCGGUGUAGACGGCUUUCUGGACCAUUGCUGACGCUGAGACACGAAAGCGUGGGUAGCAAACAGG